This 829-nucleotide ribosomal RNA is filed under the name Ilyonectria coprosmae. RNAcentral's name for it is "eukaryotic LSU rRNA". It matches the Rfam family "Eukaryotic large subunit ribosomal RNA", at positions 74 to 935 of the family's 3401-position model. The record is from RNAcentral. Lineage: Eukaryota; Fungi; Ascomycota; Sordariomycetes; Hypocreales; Nectriaceae.
AUUGCCCUAGUAACGGCGAGUGAAGCGGCAACAGCUCAAAUUUGAAAUCUGGCCCUCGGGUCCGAGUUGUAAUUUGUAGAGGAUGCUUUUGGUGAGGUGCCUUCCGAGUUCCCUGGAACGGGACGCCAUAGAGGGUGAGAGCCCCGUCUGGUCGGAUACCGAUCCUCUGUAAAGCUCCUUCGACGAGUCGAGUAGUUUGGGAAUGCUGCUCUAAAUGGGAGGUAUAUGUCUUCUAAAGCUAAAUAUUGGCCAGAGACCGAUAGCGCACAAGUAGAGUGAUCGAAAGAUGAAAAGCACUUUGAAAAGAGAGUUAAAAAGUACGUGAAAUUGUUGAAAGGGAAGCGCUCAUGACCAGACUUGGGCUUGGUUGAUCAUCCAGGGUUCUCCCUGGUGCACUCUUCCAGCCCAGGCCAGCAUCAGUUCGCUGUGGGGGAUAAAGGCUUUGGGAAUGUGGCUCCUCCGGGAGUGUUAUAGCCCAUUGUGUAAUACCCUGUGGUGGACUGAGGUUUGCGCAUCUGCAAGGAUGCUGGCGUAAUGGUCAUCAGCGACCCGUCUUGAAACACGGACCAAGGAGUCGUCUUCGUAUGCGAGUGUUCGGGUGUUAAACCCCUACGCGUAAUGAAAGUGAACGCAGGUGAGAGCUUCGGCGCAUCAUCGACCGAUCCUGAUGUUCUCGGAUGGAUUUGAGUAAGAGCAUACGGGGCCGGACCCGAAAGAAGGUGAACUAUGCCUGUAUAGGGUGAAGCCAGAGGAAACUCUGGUGGAGGCUCGCAGCGGUUCUGACGUGCAAAUCGAUCGUCAAAUAUGGGCAUGGGGGCGAAAGACUAAU